GACGAACGCUGGCGGCGUGCCUAAUACAUGCAAGUAGAACGCUGAAGGAGGAGCUUGCUUCUCUGGAUGAGUUGCGAACGGGUGAGUAACGCGUAGGUAACCUGCCUGGUAGCGGGGGAUAACUAUUGGAAACGAUAGCUAAUACCGCAUAAUAGCAGUUGUUGCAUGAUAACUGUUUGAAAGGUGCAAUUGCACCACUACCAGAUGGACCUGCGUUGUAUUAGCUAGUUGGUGGGGUAACGGCUCACCAAGGCGACGAUACAUAGCCGACCUGAGAGGGGGAUCGGCCACACUGGGACUGAGACACGGCCCAGACUCCUACGGGAGGCAGCAGUAGGGAAUCUUCGGCAAUGGACGGAAGGCUGACCGAGCAACGCCGCGUGAGUGAAGAAGGUUGUCGGAUCGUAAAGCUCUGUUGUAAGAGAAGAACGAGUGUGAGAGUGGAAAGUUCACACUGUGACGGUAUCUUACCAGAAAGGGACGGCUAACUACGUG
Molecule: ribosomal RNA, 495 nt
Filed under: uncultured bacterium
Lineage: Bacteria
Description: partial 16S ribosomal RNA
Rfam family: Bacterial small subunit ribosomal RNA
Source: RNAcentral